UUACUCAUUGAAACAAGAAGCUCCCCAGAAGCACUAUGUGCCCCUUCUGCGAUUUAGAUUUUAAGAGCUUCUUAGGAGCUAAUGGAUGGAGUGUUUGUUGCUGUUUCAAUGAACAUGACGGUUGAAGUGUCACAGUAAGGGUCUGUGUAAAUAGUGCCCAGCUUACAAUGUGGCCUGCAGGCCAGACUGGAUGUCAUUUGUCCCAGAUAGUGUCACUGGAUGGAGUGGGAUUUCUAGUGGAAGAAGACCUAAAGUGUGAGUCAUGCUGGAAGGGAGAAACAGCUGCUGGGUUGCUCCAAAAUCUUCUGAAAUAAAUAGAGAAGAACAGAAUGGAUGGAUGCCAGGAUUAUUUACAAGCAGCCUAAUCUCCCUAACAACUCUCCCAAACCAUUCAUCUGGUUCAGAAGAUGAAGGAUACUCAAUUAUUCAAUGAAAAGGUUAAGCCUGUGGUAAAUAUGCAUAGUCAGUAAUGAAAUGUACUUCCCCUGGGUAUUUUUUAAAAAGAAUGCAGACUGACAGAUGUUUACCACAUCCUAUCUGGAUAUGUUUUCUGAGGUUUUAGUUUGUGACACUGCUUAUGCUUAUUUUCAAAAUGUAGUUCUUUGGCUUUAUUGCUUUACUGAAGUUGUAACUGGGUGACAGUGAAGUAAGUCAGCCAUGAAAAUCCAUAUGCAUCCAAGCCAAGGCAAUACUUCCCAUACCGUUUCUGUGUGUGAGUAUCCUGCUGCAUGAGAAGGGCCAGGGAACAGCUCACCUAACUCUGCUGGGUCCAGGCUUGCAUCUAUCCUUACAACCGUCCAUCUCUUUCCUCUCAUUAUCCCUCUUUUUCUGUUCAGCAUUUUGCGCAGAGCAAUCAAUAUACAUUAUGAUACAUACAUAGGAGCUUGUAAUUGUACUGCUGUUGACAUAUUUGGCUUUAGUGCUUGGAUGGGAGCUGCUUAUUUGUCUUCAGUAGUGGCUGCAGGUUUGUUCUAUUGAUAAAAACUUUUGCUGAAACAGUGGGACUCUGAACUAACAAAUGACUUGGCUAAAGAUAGUCCCUGCCUUUAACCAAAACUAUUUCCAACAAGGCCUUGCCUUGAGCAUCAAUAUUUUUGAUGAAUAAAUGCAAACACAUGAUAGUACGUCAGUGGAGAGGCCACACACAUUUCACUACAGGGCUGAGCUACAGGCACGGCAUCUGUGGUGUUGGGGUCUCCGCUGGAGAAAAGGGCAGUGUCCUGGUGCCCAAGUAGCACAGGGCGGGGGACACGCAGAAACCAGCUCAGAGUGGCAGAGCACUGCUGUGGGCUGUCAGUCGAGAGCUAACUGUGAUUUGCAAAUCUUGCUCCUUUGGCUGUGCUUGUGGAGCACACGGGGGCCUGUGUGAGCAGCAAUGUUUCAAGUAUUUGCAUCCAGCGGCCAGAGCUCCAUGGACUUUUCUCCAGGCUGGGGGCCUGGAUCGAGCAGCUCCCACUUGCUACCCCCUCCUUGCUGGUCCUUGCUUGCUCCCUCCCUCCACAACAUGGCCCAGCAGCCACACCAGUGCACACCUUUGGGUGGCUGUGGGGUUAAUCCCACUGUGGAAAUCAUUUAGGUAAAACAGAAAGUGGUAAAAAAAAGAAGAGUUAUUUUCAAUGCAGUCAUUUUUCUGAGGCAGUGGCUUGAGAGCUGAAUGGUGCUUUGGUGCUUUGCAAAAUGUUAAAAUUAACACCUUGACUGAAUUAUGUUUGUACAGAUCAUUUAGAGGUAGGAAGGACAGAUUUAAACAGGAAUGCAAUGUUGGAGGGAUUUGUAAAACAGUUAAAUAUUCCCUGUAUCUAAUUUGCCUCUUUAGAUGCACAGAGAGCAAGAGGGUGCAGAAAAAAAGCACUAAGUUCAGGUAAAUGCCUUGAGAGGCAGAGGGUUGAAGUCUCCUGGAGUUGAUCUUAAGUAUAGAUAAUUAUGUUUUUGUUUCUUUUUACUUACCUUUAAAGCUUUUGUAACUGUCAUCUGUAUUUUGAUUGUGUAAGUGUAUUCAUUAUUUUUACUCCAUCUGAGGUUUGUGUUAAUGCUUGUUUCUAAGUGAUAAAUACCAUUAUUGAUCUAUCCCCAUGUUUUAAAAGUGGACUCUGGGGCCACUUGACUUCUUCCUAGUGUCCUGUAUGUUUUUUAAGCAUAAAAGGAAACACAGCAUUCCUCCA
Molecule: long non-coding RNA, 2162 nt
Organism: Columba livia (rock pigeon)
Lineage: Eukaryota; Metazoa; Chordata; Aves; Columbiformes; Columbidae
Exons: 3
Source: RefSeq, a predicted model, not a curated record